This 74-nucleotide transfer RNA is filed under the name Gammaproteobacteria bacterium. Its description in RNAcentral is "tRNA-Gly". It matches the Rfam family "tRNA". From Rfam's summary of the family: Transfer RNA (tRNA) molecules are approximately 80 nucleotides in length. The record is from RNAcentral. Lineage: Bacteria; Pseudomonadati; Pseudomonadota; Gammaproteobacteria.
GCGGGUGUAGUUCAAUGGUAGAACCGGAGCUUCCCAAGCUUCUAAUGAGGGUUCGAUUCCCUUCACCCGCUCCA